Molecule: transfer RNA, 85 nt
Filed under: Felis catus (domestic cat)
Lineage: Eukaryota; Metazoa; Chordata; Mammalia; Carnivora; Felidae
Also listed under: 1 other name
Rfam family: tRNA
About the family: Transfer RNA (tRNA) molecules are approximately 80 nucleotides in length. Their secondary structure includes four short double-helical elements and three loops (D, anti-codon, and T loops).
Source: Rfam by way of RNAcentral
GCCUGGGUGGCUCAAUCGGUUAAGCGCCUGACUUCAGUUCAGGUCUUGAUCUCCUGGUUCGUGGGUUCGGGCCCCGCGUCGGGCU